Molecule: long non-coding RNA, 1201 nt
Organism: Paramisgurnus dabryanus
Lineage: Eukaryota; Metazoa; Chordata; Actinopteri; Cypriniformes; Cobitidae
Source: RefSeq, a predicted model, not a curated record
AUUGACAGUGUGUUUAAUUUUAAAUUUUAAUGAAAAAAAAGUUAAUUUCACUUAAUAAAAACUGUGAUAUGAACUCAAAAACUGCAAUUGAUUAACCAUUAUUUAAACUGAAUAAAUACUGAAUAACUGAAUCCCUCACACACACCGAAAAAAACCCGCGCUUUUAUUUUGACACGCGCCCAUCCCCCCACAUCUCACGGUCGGAGUCAGUUUCACAGAGCAGCGCAGGAGGACGACAGACACAUAAAGAACAUUAACAGUUUAGUUUGAAUCUCUCUCAGUCAGUCAGAGGGAGAUUAACUGACAGACUGUAUAACGUUACACGUCUUACCAAGAAACCAUUAAAAGUUUAGCACAAAUGUUUCCCGUGGAAGUUUGAAUCUCUCUCAGUCAGGGGGGAGAUUGACUGACAGACUGUCUACUUGCCACCAAACAGUAAUUUACCCUGAAACCUUUUUAAGUAAGGACUAACGUAAACUGACUCUCUGUCUUCUCUCAACCAAACAGUCAUUUAAGACCUUCUAAAGCUUAGCGCAAACGUUUCCUGCGCAAGUUUGAAUCUCUCAGUCAGGGGGGAGAUUGACUGACUGACUGACUGUCUACUCGCCACCAAACGUCAAAAGUCAGUUACACAGAAUCCUUUUAAAGUUUAGCACAAACGUUUCCCGCGCAAGUUUGGAUCUUUACCAUUGAGGGUGGCUGACUGUUCUCGACCAACCAUCAUUCACACGCAAAAACUUUAAAGAUAAGUAUGAACGUGCCCAGAGCAGUUUUCGAUCUUUACCAUUAAGGAGGCUGACUGACUAUCGUCUACCACCCGUCAUUAACACAACAAAAACUAAAGAAAUGUUACUCCAUAUGGACCUAUUCAUUUACUCAUUAUGCUGUGAGUACACCACAGUUUUAUCAGGGAAAAAAAUUAUGUUUGUGUGUUUCUCACUGCUUGACAAGGACAGAUGUGGCCCUGUUAAAAAUGUUUAAAUGUCGUUUGGUUUAAGGAACAGCACACUGAUUUUGUUUUAAAAUAUUCCUGUUUGGACAGUCUGUUAAAGCCAUAAAGGAAUACUUGAUAUAUUUCAUAAGUAAAGUGUAAAUGUAAUAUUAGUUUUUAAUGUUGUGAAUUUGGACUGAACAGCACACUUCUGUUUUAUAUCUAAACCUUUUGUAAAAUAAAUGAUUGUUCAAUAAACUGUGUAUUUUA